GGAAGUGGGGUGUGAAGCUCCGGUGCUGGUGCGGCGGGGGACUGCGGGGCCAGCCUCAGGUAGCAGCAGCAGCAGCAGCAGCAGCAGCAGCAGCAGCAGCAGCAGCAGCAGCAGCAGCAGCAAUGUUUCACUUCUUCAGAAAGCCUCCGGAAUCUAAAAAGCCCUCAGUACCAGAGACAGAAGCAGAUGGAUUCGUCCUUUUAGGAGAUACAACAGAUGAGCAAAGAAUGACAGCAAGAGGCAAAACUUCGGACAUAGAGGCCAACCAACCUUUGGAGCGGACAAGGCAAAAUCUCAGCAAGUUCGGACCUCUAGUACAAUAAGGCGAACCUCCUCUUUGGAUACAAUAACAGGACCUUACCUCACAGGACAGUGGCCACGGGAUCCUCAUGUUCACUACCCUUCAUGCAUGAAAGACAAAGCUACUCAG
Molecule: long non-coding RNA, 430 nt
Filed under: Homo sapiens (human)
Lineage: Eukaryota; Metazoa; Chordata; Mammalia; Primates; Hominidae
Description: long non-coding RNA NONHSAT119127
Source: RNAcentral